This 825-nucleotide long non-coding RNA is filed under the name Trifolium pratense (red clover). RNAcentral's name for it is "long non-coding RNA (TPRA_LNC014368)". Lineage: Eukaryota; Viridiplantae; Streptophyta; Magnoliopsida; Fabales; Fabaceae. The record is from RNAcentral.
AAAAAUGAACUAAAAUGAACUAAAAUUGUGGUAGAUAGUGUUCCGGGGUUUUCCAGUUCUACCAUUAACAUUUCAUUUUGGCGGAAAACCUGAGAGAGUACCUUCUGCUCUUGUCANNNNNNNNNNNNNNNNNNNNNNNNNNNNNNNNNNNNNNGUACCUUCUGCUCUUGUCACGCCUAGUUCUACUACACUCACUCAAAUUAUUACGAAACAAACUCAAAAAUUUUCUGCCACCUCCUCCGGUAACCGCCGCCUCCUCCGCCGUUAACCGCCGGAUAUUCUCUAUCAACUUCAGGUAACCUCCGUUCUUCUCUCCGAUCUGGUUUCAUUUUCUCCAUUCGUUACCUUUUUAUUCUGAUUUAGGGUUUUAUUUUCGGUAUCUCUCUCUCUUCAAAUUUCUCUAUUACCGUACCCGAAUUGCAUGUUUUUCUUCUUCUAAUUGUUCUUACUGUUAGUGUCAUUGAUGAUGCGUGAUGGUGAUGACGUGUGUCCUUUAUUUUUGUUUUUUUAUCCAAUUUGUUUAUUUUAUUUUAUAUUUUUUUUGGUUUCGAUUCUGAAAUUAUCCUUUUAUAGGUUACACAUGCAAUUUUGAAUGCAUGUCCAGAUUAUUUUACUGUUUUCUUCUGGCAAUUUGUGUAUUUUUUUUUUUAAUUUUAAUUUGGAAUUUCUCAGUGCAUUUUUCUUUUGGUCAAUUCUCAUAUUCUCAUAUGUUUUACUAUUAAAUUAAAAUUCUCUGAAUUUUGGUUUGACUUUUUAAAUUCUGUUAAUGUGUAAUUUGUUUUGUAUUUCUCACUGCAUUUUUGUGUUGAGUUAUGUUUUGGGGUU